CCCUUAGAUGUCCUGGGCCGCACGCGCGCUACGCUGAACGGAUCAGCGCGUUUUCCCUUCCCGAGAGGGACGGGUAACCUGCUGAACCCCGUUCGUGGUAGGGAUCGGGGCUUGCAAUUAUUCCCCGUGAACCAGGAAUGCCCAGUAAGUGCAAGUCAUAAGCUUGCGUUGAUUACGUCCCUGCCCUUUGUACACACCGCCCGUCGCUACUACCGAUUGAACGUUUUAGUGAGGUACUCGGACUGAGCCUCAGAAGAUUCACGUCUUUUGUGCUGCUCGGGAAGAUUCCCAAACUUGAGCGUUUAGAGGAAGUAAAAGUCGUAACA
This 326-nucleotide ribosomal RNA is filed under the name uncultured eukaryote. Its description in RNAcentral is "partial 18S ribosomal RNA". It matches the Rfam family "Eukaryotic small subunit ribosomal RNA", at positions 1470 to 1796 of the family's 1831-position model. The record is from RNAcentral.